AUGGCGAGCCAUGCCGCCCCAGUAGUUCCCCACGCCCCUCUUCUGCAGCGUUGCGCCCGAGCUCCUUCCUCGCGGCAUCGCCACCGCAACCUGCAGGCACUCGAGCAAGAUCCCCCGACGUUGCCCACACCCGCUCCCCUUGCCAUAAUCCGCCUCGCCAUCACCGUCGAACCGCGCGCCCUCGACCUCCCUGGCUUCACCGACCCCUUCCACGAGCUCCGCUGUGAGCCUCUCUGA
Molecule: ribosomal RNA, 237 nt
Filed under: Triticum aestivum (bread wheat)
Lineage: Eukaryota; Viridiplantae; Streptophyta; Magnoliopsida; Poales; Poaceae
Description: partial small subunit ribosomal RNA
Source: RNAcentral